GACGAACGCUGGCGGCGUGCCUAAUACAUGCAAGUAGAACGCUGAAGAGAGGAGCUUGCUCUUCUUGGAUGAGUUGCGAACGGGUGAGUAACGCGUAGGUAACCUGCCUUGUAGCGGGGGAUAACUAUUGGAAACGAUAGCUAAUACCGCAUAACAAUGGAUGACACAUGUCAUUUAUUUGAAAGGGGCAAUUGCUCCACUAUAAGAUGGACCUGCGUUGUAUUAGCUAGUAGGUGAGGUAAUGGCUCACCUAGGCGACGAUACAUAGCCGACCUGAGAGGGUGAUCGGCCACACUGGGACUGAGACACGGCCCAGACUCCUACGGGAGGCAGCAGUAGGGAAUCUUCGGCAAUGGGGGCAACCCUGACCGAGCAACGCCGCGGGAGUGAAGAAGGUUUUCGGAUCGUAAAGCUCUGUUGUAAGUCAAGAACGGGUGUGAGAGUGGAAAGUUCACACUGUGACAGUAGCUUACCAGAAAGGGACGGCUAACUACGUG
This 497-nucleotide ribosomal RNA is filed under the name uncultured bacterium. RNAcentral describes it as "partial 16S ribosomal RNA". It matches the Rfam family "Bacterial small subunit ribosomal RNA", at positions 28 to 507 of the family's 1533-position model. The record is from RNAcentral.